GGCGGAUGUAGCCAAGUGGAUCAAGGCAAUGGA
This 33-nucleotide transfer RNA is filed under the name Symphonia globulifera (boarwood). RNAcentral's name for it is "partial tRNA-His". Lineage: Eukaryota; Viridiplantae; Streptophyta; Magnoliopsida; Malpighiales; Clusiaceae. The record is from RNAcentral.